AUGGCUGCUUCAGCAGUAGGAGGAUGGGUAGCCUCAGCUUUCAUCACCAAGCUAGUUGAGAAGGUGUGCACCUAUGCUGGAGACCAGUAUGAAUACCAACGGAAAGAUACAAAGGAGAAACUAAGUACCCUAGAGAAGAAUCUAUCGUCGAUCCAAACAGCGAUACAUAUAGCUGAGAGAGUGCAGGCAAAGAACAUAGCCAUGGGAAGUUGGCUAAGGAGAAUCAAAGAUGCUGCCUGUCAAGCUGAGGAUGUUCUCGAUUUGUUUGACUAUCGAGUUCUCCAAGCACAAGCUGAAGACAGGGGCAUGAUUAGCUCAGUUGCUUCAGCUGCAGCUGGCUCAUCUUCUUCAUCCUCAAGCACCGUCACCACUGCCUCUACCACCACUAGCAGUAGCAGCAGCUCGACAGUAAAUCAGUCGGUUCGUCUUCUCAAACGCUUUCUAUUCUCUGAUGAAGAUAUAGAUGACUUGAUUUCUGUAGUCAAUAAGUUUGUUGAGAUUGAUAGUGAGAUGCAAAGAUUUCUGGAGUUUGUCAAGAUAGAGGACAGCAAACCGGAACAGGCAGUUCAGUGGCGCACAACAAGCUCUAUGCCAAGCUCAGAGAAGUUUUUCGGUCGAGUUAAUGAAGAAAACAAUCUGAAGAAAUUACUUGUUCAGAUCAAUGAACAAUCCAGUCAGCCAUAUGAUGUUAUAUCAAUUGUUGGUAUUGGUGGUGUUGGUAAGACAGCGCUAGUACAGAGAGUGUAUAACCACUUUCAUGACACACAUCACUUUGAUCUCACAGUAUGGCUCCAUGUCUCAGAUAAAUUUGAUGUUGGCCGUCUAACAAAAGAGAUGACAGAGUCAGAUAAUCUCAGCAGUAGUUUAGAUCAAGCUCAGAGGAUACUUCGGGAUAGGCUGAAUGGGAAAAAGGCUUUGAUAGUCCUUGACGAUGUAUGGAAUGUAUUGAGGAGCCAAUUGGAGAACCUGUUCAAACCCCUGAAGUUUGCUAGCCAGGGCAGCAAAGUAAUAGUUACAACUCGAAGUAAAAAUGUUGCAAGUAUGAAUGCAUCAACAGAGAUCAUGGAGUUACAUGGCUUAGAAGAUGAAGACUACUGGGAUUUCUUUUCACAAUGUGCAUUCGGUGAUGCAAAUCCUUCUGAUUUUCCACAACUGAAAAGAAUUGGCCAAGAAGUGGUGAGCAAGUUGGCCGGAUCACCUUUAGCUGCAAUGACAGUUGGGAGUUCAUUGAAAGCGGUGCUAAAAGAAGAACAUUGGAGUUCUAUCUGUGGAAAGAAAUUGUGUCAAAUAGAGCAAAAGGAAGAUGAUAUCAUAUCAGUAUUGCGACCGAGUUAUGAGCAUCUUCCUGACCAUUUGAAGCAAUGCUUUGUUUACUUUGCAUUGUUUCCUAAGAAAUACCACCUUCGAGGAGAUGAGCUAAUACAGAUGUGGAGAGCUCACGGUUUCCUUGACACGCAAACACCAGAUGAAACUGCACGUCGUUACAUCAAUGAUCUCUUGCAGCUUUUAUUCAUUGAGAAGGUACCCAACCAAGAGGACCACUAUGUAGUUCACGACUUGCUACAUGAUUUUGCAGAGUCGGUGUCCAAUGGAGAACACUUCCGAAUAGAAGAUGACUUCAAUGUAUGUAUUCCAAGAAAUGUUCGCCACCUAUAUGUCAGUGCAAGCAAUAUCUUAAAGGUGUACAUGAGUUUGGAAGAAUUAAAGAAAAAUCUGAGAAGCUUAAUAAUAAGCAAGGCACAAGAAGGUGCUUCUUGCGAAAGGGUCUCCUCGUCAAACUUUAAUCAUAUACUUGAACAUAUACUCAAAGAGCUAAGAAGCUUACGCGUUUUAGUACUGUGCAAUCCUGAUGGUAUGCUUCCAGACAGUCUUGAUCAUUUGGUCCAUCUUAGGUAUCUAAACAUCCAUGAAAGUAGAAACUUCAUCAAUGUCCCCAAGUCAUUAUUCAAACUCUACCAUUUACAAGGGUUGAGUCUGCAAACUCAAGACAGGAUCAUGAAAAAGGAACUCCAAGAGGGCUUAAGUAGGUUGACCCAGUUAAGAUACUUAAAGGCUCCGAAGAAAAUAAUUUCAAGCAUAGAAUUGAUUGGCAGGCCGAGAUCCCUCAAAAGAACUAGAGGAGAACAAAGUGAAGAGUAA
This 2139-nucleotide ribosomal RNA is filed under the name Triticum aestivum (bread wheat). RNAcentral describes it as "partial small subunit ribosomal RNA". Lineage: Eukaryota; Viridiplantae; Streptophyta; Magnoliopsida; Poales; Poaceae. The record is from RNAcentral.